CAAUAGCGUAUAUUAAAGUUGUUGCAGUUAAAAGCUCGUAGUUGGAUUUCUGGUGGGAGCACGGGUCGGCCUUCACGGGUUGUACUGUUGUUGCGUCCUGCCGUUUCGGAGGGAAUGGUCAUGUUAUUAGGUUAGCGUGAUCGGAAACUCUGUCGUUUACUGUGAAAAAUUAGAGUGUUUAAAGCAGGCUUAAGCCGUUGAAUACAUUAGCAUGGAAUAAUAAGAUAAGACUUGGGUCAUUAUUUUGUUGGUUUGCGGAUCGAGGUAAUGAUUAAUAGGGAUAGUUGGGGGUAUUCAUAUUUAAUUGUCAGAGGUGAAAUUCUUGGAUUUAUGAAAGAUGAACUUAGGCGAAAGCAUUUACCAAGGAUGUUUUCAUUAAUCAAGAACGAAAGUUAGGGGAUCGAAGAUGAUCAGAU
This 416-nucleotide ribosomal RNA is filed under the name uncultured eukaryote. RNAcentral describes it as "bacterial SSU rRNA". It matches the Rfam family "Eukaryotic small subunit ribosomal RNA", at positions 592 to 1013 of the family's 1831-position model. The record is from RNAcentral.